GCCCAGUCUGCUAACUGCUAGUCCUUGCUAACUGCUUGCUUGCUAACCAGGUCUGCUAACUGCUAGCUUGUCUGCCCGGUCUGCUAACUGCUAGCCCUUGCUAACUGCUUGCUUGCUAACUGCUUGCUUGCUAACCAGGUCUGCUAACUGCUAGCUUGUCUGCCCGGUCUGCUAACUGCUAGCCCUUGCUAACUGCUUGCUUGCUAACCCGGUCUGCUAACUGCUAGCUUGCCUGCCCGGUCUGCUAACUGCUAGCUUGCCUGCCCGGUCUGCUAACUGCUAGCUUGCCUGCCCGGUCUGCUAACUGCUAGUCCUUGCUAACUGCUUGCUUGCUAACCAGGUCUGCUAACUGCUAGCUUGCUAACCCGGUCUGCUAACUGCUAGCCCUUGCUAACUGCUUGCUUGCUAACCCGGUCUGCUAACUGCUAGCUUGCUAGCCCUUGCUAACUGCUUGCUUGCGAGCCCUUGCUAACUGCUUGCUUGCUAACCCGGUCUGCUAACUGCUAGCUUGAUUGCCCAGUCUGCUAACUGCUAGUCCUUGCUAACUGCUUGCUUGCUAACCAGGUCUGCUAACUGCGAGCUUGUCUGCCCGGUCUGCUAACUGCUAGCUUGUCUGCCCGGUCUGCUAACUGCUAGUCCUUGCUAACUGCUUGCUUGCUAACCAGGUCUGCUAACUGCUAGCUUGUCUGCCCGGUCUGCUAACUGCUAGCCCUUGCUAACUGCUUGCUUGCUAACCCGGUCUGCUAACUGCUAGCUUGCUAACCCGGUCUGCUAACUGCUAGCUUGCCUGCCCGGUCUGCUAACUGCUAGCUUGCCUGCCCGAUCUGCUAACUGCUAGCCCUUGCUAACUGCUUGCUUGCUAACCAGGUCUGCUAACUGCUAGCUUGUCUGCCCGGUCUGCUAACUGCUAGCCCUUGCUAAC
This is a long non-coding RNA of Oncorhynchus keta (chum salmon), 922 nucleotides long. RefSeq lists it as uncharacterized. The record is from RefSeq and is a predicted model, not a curated record. The transcript has 6 exons. Lineage: Eukaryota; Metazoa; Chordata; Actinopteri; Salmoniformes; Salmonidae.